Molecule: ribosomal RNA, 333 nt
Filed under: uncultured bacterium
Lineage: Bacteria
Description: bacterial SSU rRNA
Rfam family: Bacterial small subunit ribosomal RNA
Source: RNAcentral
UGCGUAGGUGGCUUCGUAAGUAAGGAGUGAAAUCCCUCGGCUUACCCGGGGAAUUGCUUUUUAUACUGCGAGGCUUGAGGAUCAGAGGGGAAAGGGGAACUCCGAGUGUAGCGGUGAAAUGCGCAGAUAUUCGGGGGGAAGGCCGGCGGCGAAGGCGCCUUUCUGGCUGAUUCCUGACACUGAGGCACGAAAGCGUGGGGAGCAAACAGGAUUAGAUACCCUGGUAGUCCACGCCCUAAACGAUGGAUACUAAUUAGAAGGCCCUGCAAGGGGCUUUUUAACGGAGCAAAAGCGUUAAGUAUCCCGCCUGGGGAGUAUGGUCGCAAGGCUGAA